Molecule: ribosomal RNA, 580 nt
Filed under: uncultured rumen bacterium
Lineage: Bacteria
Description: bacterial SSU rRNA
Rfam family: Bacterial small subunit ribosomal RNA
Source: RNAcentral
CAUGUCCUUGAUAUGAAAGAUCCGUCGGUCCGGGAUGGGCAUGCGGCGCAUUAGCUUGUUGGCGGGGCAACGGCCCACCAAGGCGACGAUGCGUAGGGGUUCUGAGAGGAAGGUCCCCCACACUGGUACUGAGACACGGACCAGACUCCUACGGGAGGCAGCAGUGAGGAAUAUUGGUCAAUGGACGGUAGUCUGAACCAGCCAAGUCGCGUGCGGGAAGAAGGCCCUCCGGGUCGUAAACCGCUUUAGCCGGGGAGUAACGUGCGGGACGUGUCCCGCAGUGAGAGUACCCGGAGAAUAAGCAUCGGCUAACUCCGUGCCAGCAGCCGCGGUAAUACGGAGGAUGCGAGCGUUAUCCGGAUUUAUUGGGUUUAAAGGGUGCGCAGGCGGCGAGUCAAGUCAGCGGUCAAACUGCGGCGCUCAACGCCGUACCGCCGUUGAAACUGGCGCGCUUGAGUUUGUGCGAGGAUGGCGGAAUGCGCAGUGUAGCGGUGAAAUGCAUAGAUAUUGCGCAGAACUCCGAUUGCGAAGGCAGCUGUCCAGCACACUACUGACGCUCAUGCACGAAAGCGUGGGUAUC